AAUCCAGCUCCUCCGUUUGAGAUAAUCCUUAUUACUGUUAGAAACCUUUCAGUCCUGACCAGCUUCAGGUCUGCUUCAGGUCUGCUUCAGGUCGGCCUCAGGUCGGCCUCAGGUCUGCUUCUGGUCUGCUUCAGGUCUGCUUCAGGUCUGCCUCAGGUCGGCCUCAGGUCGGCCUCAGGUCUGCUUCAGGUCUGCCUCAGGUCGGCCUCAGGUCUGCUUCAGGUCUGCUUCAGGUCGGCCUCAGGUCGGCCUCAGGUCUGCUUCAGGUCGGCUUCAGGUCGGCCUCAGGUCGGCCUCAGGUCUGCUUCAGGUCGGCCUCAGGUCUGCUUCAGGUCGGCUUCAGGUCGGCUUCAGGUCGGCUUCAGGUCGGCCUCAGGUCUGCUUCAGGUCGGCUUCAGGUCGGCCUCAGGUCGGCCUCAGGUCUGCUUCAGGUCGGCUUCAGGUCGGCCUCAGGUCUGCUUCAGGUCGGCUUCAGGUCGGCCUCAGGUCUGCUUCAGGUCGGCCUCAGGUCAGAAUAUGAAUCUCUGAAUCUGAGUUUUAAAAAGUAAGAUUUAUUUUUAUUCCUCAUGAACUUUUGAAAUAAUUAAUAAUGAACAGCUGUUAGACUUCACACCAGCGUAGAUGAUCUCAGUCGCUGCUCUCGUUGGGUCGACUCGUGAAGCAGCUUGAGUUCUGUGAAACGGAGAGACAGCUGUUGUGAAUUGACCCUUUGUCGGUUCUCUGAUUGGUCCACUGACCCACCAAUCAGAGAGGUCCCUCUCAGCAACCAUUGCUGGGAUACCUCCGGUUAGACAAACUGACCUCACCUGCUGUCCUGACCUCAACUGACCUCACCUGCUGUCUUGACCUCAACUGACCUCACAUGAUGUCUUGACCUCAACUGACCUCACAUGCUGUCUUGACCUCAGCUGCUGUCCUGACCUCGCCUGACCUCAC
Long non-coding RNA from Labrus mixtus (cuckoo wrasse), 936 nucleotides. RefSeq lists it as uncharacterized. The record is from RefSeq and is a predicted model, not a curated record. Lineage: Eukaryota; Metazoa; Chordata; Actinopteri; Labriformes; Labridae. The transcript is spliced from 7 exons.